CCUACGGGGGGCAGCAGUGGGGAAUAUUGCACAAUGGGGGAAACCCUGAUGCAGCGACGCCGCGUGAGUGAAGAAGGAUUUCGGUAUGUAAAGCUCUAUCAGCAGGGAAGAAAAUGACGGUACCUGACUAAGAAGCUCCUGCUAACUACGUGCCAGCAGCCGCGGGAAUACGUAGGGGGCAAGCGUUAUCCAGAUUUACUGGGUGUAAAGGGAGCGGAGACGGUUAAGCAAGUCAGAAGUGAAAGCCCGGGGCUCAACUCCGGGACUGCUUUUGAAACUGUGUGACUGGAGUGCAUGAGAGGUAAGUGGAAUUCCAGGUGUAGCGGUGAAAUGCGUAGAUAUGAGGAGGAACACCAGUGGCGAAGGCGGCUUCCUGGACUGUAACUGACGUUGAGGCUCGAAAGCGUGGGGAGCAAACAGGAUUAGAUACCCUGGUAGUC
RNAcentral lists this ribosomal RNA (440 nucleotides) under uncultured bacterium. RNAcentral's name for it is "partial 16S ribosomal RNA". It matches the Rfam family "Bacterial small subunit ribosomal RNA", at positions 338 to 795 of the family's 1533-position model. The record is from RNAcentral.